Molecule: ribosomal RNA, 253 nt
Filed under: uncultured bacterium
Lineage: Bacteria
Description: partial 16S ribosomal RNA
Rfam family: Bacterial small subunit ribosomal RNA
Source: RNAcentral
UACGAAGGGGGCUAGCGUUGCUCGGAAUGACUGGGCGUAAAGGGCGCGUAGGCGGUUUGAUUAGUUAGGUGUGAAAUUCCCGGGCUUAACCUGGGGGCUGCACUUAAUACAGUCAGACUGGAGUUCGGAAGAGGGUUGUGGAAUUCCCAGUGUAGAGGUGAAAUUCGUAGAUAUUAGGAAGAACACCGGUGGCGAAGGCGGCCCACUGGAUCGGUACUGACACUGAGGUGCGAAAGCGUGGGGAGCAAACAGG